This 463-nucleotide ribosomal RNA is filed under the name uncultured Corynebacterium sp. RNAcentral describes it as "bacterial SSU rRNA". It matches the Rfam family "Bacterial small subunit ribosomal RNA", at positions 338 to 795 of the family's 1533-position model. The record is from RNAcentral. Lineage: Bacteria; Bacillati; Actinomycetota; Actinomycetes; Mycobacteriales; Corynebacteriaceae.
CCUACGGGCGGCAGCAGUGGGGAAUAUUGCACAAUGGGCGCAAGCCUGAUGCAGCGACGCCGCGUGGGGGAUGACGGCCUUCGGGUUGUAAACUCCUUUCGUUAGGGACGAAGCCACACCUUUUUUUGGGUGUGUUGACGGUACCUUUGUUAAGAAGCACCGGCUAACUACGUGCCAGCAGCCGCGGUAAUACGUAGGGGGCGGGCGUUGUCCGGAAUUACUGGGCGUAAAGAGCUCGUAGGGGGUUUGUUGCGUCGUCUGGGAAAUUCCGGGGCUUAACUUCGGGGUGGCAGGCGAUACUGGCAGAACUAGAGUGCUGUAGGGGAGACUGGAAUUCCUGGUGUAGCGGUGGAAUGCGCAGAUAUCAGGAGGAACACCGAUGGCGAAGGCAGGUCUCUGGGCAGUAACUGACGCUGAGGAGCGAAAGCAUGGGGAGCGAACAGGAUUAGAUACCCCAGUAGUC